AGAGUUUGAUCAUGGCUCAGAACGUACGCUGGCGGCACGCCUAACACAUGCAAGUCGAACGAAGUAGUAAUACUUAGUGGCAGACGGGUGAGUAACAUGUAGGUAUCUGCCCUUUGGCCUGGAAUAACACGAGGAAACUUGUGCUAAUACCGGAUAAGUCUUUACGGAGAAAGCUUUAUGCACCAUUGGAUGAGCCUGCACUUGAUUAGUUUGUUGGUGGGGUAAUGGCCUACCAAGACUGUGAUCAAUAGCUGAUUUGAGAGGAUGAUCAGCCACAUUGGGACUGAGACACGGCCCAAACUCCUACGGGAGGCAGCAGUGGGGAAUCUUGCACAAUGGAGGAAACUCUGAUGCAGCGAUGCCGCGUGAGUGAAGAAGGCCCUUGGGUUGUAAAGCUCUUUCGUCGGGGAAGAAAAUGACUGUACCCGAAUAAGAAGGUCCGGCUAACUUCGUGCCAGCAGCCGCGGUAAUACGAAGGGACCUAGCGUAGUUCGGAAUUACUGGGCUUAAAGAGUUCGUAGGUGGUUGAAAAAGUUAGUGGUGAAAUCCCAGAGCUUAACUCUGGAACUGCCAUUAAAACUUUUCAGCUAGAGUAUGAUAGAGGAAAGCAGAAUUUCUAGUGUAGAGGUGAAAUUCGUAGAUAUUAGAAAGAAUACCAAUUGCGAAGGCAGCUUUCUGGAUCAUUACUGACACUGAGGAACGAAAGCAUGGGUAGCGAAGAGGAUUAGAUACCCUCGUAGUCCAUGCCGUAAACGAUGUGUGUUAGACGUUGGAGAUUUAUUUUCAGUGUCGCAGGAAACCGAUAAACACACCGCCUGGGGAGUACGACCGCAAGGUUAAAACUCAAAUGAAUUGACGGGACCCGCACAAGUAGUGGAGCAUGUGGUUUAA
This 891-nucleotide ribosomal RNA is filed under the name marine metagenome. RNAcentral describes it as "bacterial SSU rRNA". It matches the Rfam family "Bacterial small subunit ribosomal RNA", at positions 8 to 949 of the family's 1533-position model. The record is from RNAcentral.